UUAGGAAUCUUCCACAAUGGGCGAAAGCCUGAUGGAGCGACGCCGCGUGAGGGAUGAAGGUCGUAAGAUUGUAAACUCCUGUUAGAGGGGAAGAAUAGUACCGGUUGGACCGGUAUAUGACUGUACCCUCAGAGAAAGCCCCGGCUAACUACGUGCCAGCAGCCGCGGUAAUGCGUAGGGGGCAAGCGUUGUCCGGAUUUACUGGGUGUAAAGGGCGCGCAGGCGGGAUAAAAAGUCAGUGGUGAAAUCCUACAGCUUAACUGUAGAACUGCCUUUGNUACUUUUAUUCUUGAGUUCGGGAGAGAGAGACGGAAUUCCAGGUGUAGUGGUGAAAUACGUAGAUAUCUGGAAGAACACCAGUUGCGAAGGCGGUCUCUUGGUCCGACACUGACGCUGAGGCGCGAAAGCGUGGGGAGCAAACA
RNAcentral lists this ribosomal RNA (422 nucleotides) under uncultured bacterium. RNAcentral describes it as "bacterial SSU rRNA". It matches the Rfam family "Bacterial small subunit ribosomal RNA", at positions 355 to 774 of the family's 1533-position model. The record is from RNAcentral.